GUUUUUAAAAAAAGUAGCUGUUCGGUGACGGCUUCGCUUUUACUUCUCAAACCCAAACACACACACUCUCUCUCUCUCUCCAAUCUCCAUUGCCCAAUCGACGUUUUCUCCAGCCUCUUAAGAGAGCCAUUCCGGCGAAGAGUCGAUCGAACAUGGCUUCUUUUCGGGCAUUCUUGAACAGUCCGGUUGGCCCGAAAACAACUUACUUUUGGGGACCUGUUGCCAAUUGGGGAUUCGUCGCUGCUGUAUGCGCUGCUUCCAUGAUUCUUUAUUAUUAUUUUAAGUUCAUAUGUGGAUUUUUUGUUUCCAGGUUCCAACUAUCGUAUUUGACGGAUUUCUGAAACUUAUGCCUUGCGGAUUUGACAUGGUUUAGCGGACAUGAAGAAACCCCCGGAAAUGAUUUCGGCAAUGUGCAUCUACUCGGCAUUGUUCAUGAGAUUUGCGUGGAUGGUACAGCCCCGCAACUAUCUACUCCUGACAUGUCAUGCCUCGAACGAGACUGUGCAGCUCUAUCAAUUCUCACGAUGGGCAAAGGGUCAGGGGUACUUGUCUGAGAAGAAAGACAAACCUGCAUCUCAGUAACCUAAUGCUAACGUCUUUUGCUUACCCGUUCUACCGAUUUCAUGUUCAAAUAAAUAUGAUUGUUGAUGUUGAAAUCAUGUUCAAAUAAA
Long non-coding RNA from Carya illinoinensis, 671 nucleotides. RefSeq lists it as uncharacterized. The record is from RefSeq and is a predicted model, not a curated record. The transcript is spliced from 4 exons. NCBI's taxonomy places the organism in Eukaryota, Viridiplantae, Streptophyta, Magnoliopsida, Fagales, Juglandaceae.